ACAGAGGUCCCGAGCGUUGUUCGGAUUCAUUGGGCGUAAAGGGUGCGUAGGCGGCUUCCUAAGUUUGAUGUGAAAUCCUGGGGCUCAACCCUGGAACUGCAUUGAAUACUGGGAGGCUAGAGUACUGGAGAGGAAACUGGAAUUUACGGUGUAGCAGUGAAAUGCGUAGAGAUCGUAAGGAAGACCAGUGGCGAAGGCGAGUUUCUGGACAGUUACUGACGCUGAGGCACGAAGGCCAGGGGAGCAAACGGGA
RNAcentral lists this ribosomal RNA (253 nucleotides) under uncultured prokaryote. RNAcentral describes it as "partial 16S ribosomal RNA". It matches the Rfam family "Bacterial small subunit ribosomal RNA", at positions 525 to 777 of the family's 1533-position model. The record is from RNAcentral.